UGGGAAGAAUGUAUAGGUAUGUAUUGGUGCUCCCGCACCUUGGUUAAUAGUAUCGUCAGUAUCUUUGUAUUGAUAUUCCACGUGGAUAACUGUGGUAAUUCUAGAGCAAAUACAUGCACCAAAGCUCCGAUCUCAUGACGAGCGCAUCUAUUAGACCAAAAACCAAUCGAGAAUAUUCGCCUCAAAACGAAUGCCUCGUAAAUUUGGUGACUCUGAAUAGCUUAGCUGAUCGCAUGGUCUCGCACCGGCGACGUAUCUAUCAAGUGUCUGCCUUAUCAACUUUCGAUGGUAGUUUAUAUGCCUACCAUGGUUGUAACGGGUAACGGAGAAUAAGGGUUCGACUCCGGAGAGGGAGCCUGAGAAACGGCUACCACAUCCAAGGAAGGCAGCAGGCGCGCAAAUUCCCCACUCUCAGCACGAGGAGGUAGUGACGAAAAAAAACGAGACCCUUCUCUUCAAGGCCGGUUAUCGGAAUGAGUACCAUUUUAAAGCCGUUCCG
This 499-nucleotide ribosomal RNA is filed under the name Camallanus cotti. Its description in RNAcentral is "SSU rRNA". It matches the Rfam family "Eukaryotic small subunit ribosomal RNA", at positions 61 to 539 of the family's 1831-position model. Lineage: Eukaryota; Metazoa; Nematoda; Chromadorea; Rhabditida; Camallanidae. The record is from RNAcentral.